This 468-nucleotide ribosomal RNA is filed under the name uncultured bacterium. Its description in RNAcentral is "partial 16S ribosomal RNA". It matches the Rfam family "Bacterial small subunit ribosomal RNA", at positions 28 to 507 of the family's 1533-position model. The record is from RNAcentral.
GACGAACGCUGGCGGCGUGCUUAACACAUGCCAGUCGAACGGCAAGGCCCUAAUUUUGUGGUGUUCUCGAUUGCCGAACGGGUGAGUAACAGGUGAGUAACCUGCUCUAGACUUUGGUGGAACUUCAGGAAACGGGGCCUAAUAUCGGAUAGCAUCUCCUGUUGCAUGGUGGGGGUGGGAACUUUGCUGCGGUCGGGGUUGGAUUGGCGGCUUAUCAGCUUGUUGGUGGGGUAGUGGCUUACCAAGGCUUUGGCGGGUAGCCGGCCUGAGAGGGUGAACGGGCACCUGAGGCCUGAGAUACGGACCAGUCUCCUACGGUGGGCAGCAGUGGGGAAUAUUGCACAAUGGGCGGGAGCCUGAUGCAACAACGCCGCGUGCGGGAUGACGGCCUUCGGGUUGAAAACCGCUUCCGCCUGUGACGAAGCGGGAGUGACGGUAAUGGGUAAAGAAGCACCGGCUAACUACGUG